GGGGUGGGCAGUGGGGUGGGCAGAGCCUCCAGUCCUGCGUCUUGUGUUUGGGGAGCACGUCAGCUUCCAGGGCAGCAAACUCGCGGUGCUUCCUCUAAAUGCUUAGACUAUGGUACAAAAGAUCCAAGAAAUGCCAGUGGCAUUCGGUUCCCCUUGCUGUGUCCUCCUGGCCCUUUCCAUGAACCUUUUGUUCUGACAGGGAGGACGGCCGGUGGCCUGGGUCUCACACUCGGCCACUUGAGUUCCCCGUGGGCCUCUGCAGCCUCCUCUGUGGGCCACAUGUGUGUGGUUUGGGCAGAACGGGAGACUUCACAGGCCUCUGCUGGGAGCUCGCUUGUUUAUUUUGGAAGAAUUGUUUGUCUCUGCUGCUGACAGUGCAGCCUGAAUCCUGUUUUGUUAUUUCGCCGUCCGCGUGUUCUGUCAAAGACCAGUGGCCUUCUGCCCUCAUCUGCUGCCUGUUUUGUUAUUUCGCCGUCCGCAUAUUCUGUCAAAGACCAGUGGCCUUCUGCCCUCAUCCGCCACCUGUUUUGUUAUUUCGCCAUCCGCGUGUUCUGUCAAAGACCAGUGGCCUUCUGCCCUCAUCUGCUGACCGCCUGACUGCACUAAGCAGCAUUAGAUGACAUUUUUCCGUCACUGAAUUUUUAGGUCAAGCCAGUUCUAUCGCUGCAGAAUAGAUAACUGAACGGCAGCGUGACAGCCUUUGGGGCAGGGGGGCCGUCUCCGGAUAAGACACGUUUGUCUUUUUCCCAGGCACACAGCCUUUGCCGUUUCAGAGCCAGGGCUUUUCCUGAAGACUGCAUUUCUAU
This 806-nucleotide long non-coding RNA is filed under the name Homo sapiens (human). RNAcentral describes it as "HSALNT0116826". The record is from RNAcentral. Lineage: Eukaryota; Metazoa; Chordata; Mammalia; Primates; Hominidae.